AAUGAACGCUGGCGGCAGGCCUAAAACAUGCAAGUCGAACGAUGUAGCAAUACAGAGUGGCGCACGGGUGAGUAACAUGUGGGAAUAUGCCUUUUGGUACGGGACAACAGUUGGAAACGACUGCUAAUACCGUAUGGUCCCUUCGGGGUAAAGAUUUAUCGCCAAAAGAGUAGCCCGCACUAGAUUAGUUUGUUGGUAAGGUAAUGGCUUACCAAGACUACGAUCUAUAGUUGGUUUGAGAGGAUGAUCAGCCACACUGGAACUGAGACACGGUCCAGACUCCUACGGGAGGCAGCAGUUAGGAAUAUUGGACAAUGGGCGCAAGCCUGAUCCAGCCAUGUCGCGUGAACGAUGAAGGCCUUCGGGUUGUAAAGUUCUUUAGCCUGUGAGUAUAAUGAACGUAGCAGGAGAAAAGCUCCGGCUAACUUCGUGCCAGCAGCCGCGGUAAUACGAAGGGGGCGAGCGUUAUUCGGAAUCACUGGGCGUAAAGCGUACGUAGGCGGUUUAAUAAGUUAGAAGUGAAAGCCCUGGGCUCAACCUAGGAAUUGCUUUUAAAACUGCUAAACUAGAAUCUCGGAGGGGAUGGUGGAAUUUCCAGUGUAGAGGUGAAAUUCGUAGAUAUUGGAAGGAACACCAGUGGCGAAGGCGACCAUCUGGACGAGUAUUGACGCUGAGGCACGAAAGCGUGGGAGCAAACACAGGAUUAGAUACCCUGGUAGUCCACGCCGUAAACGAUGUAAACUAGCCGUUGGGACCUUAGGUUUCAGUGGCGCAGCUAACGCACUAAGUUUACCGCCUGGGGAGUACGGCCGCAAGGUUAAAACUCAAAGGAAUUUGACGGGGACCCGCACAAGCGGUGGAGCAUGUGGUUUAAUUCGAUGCAACGCGCAGAACCUUACCAGCCCUUGACAUCCCGAUUGGGAGGAGCAGAGAUGCACCUCUUCAUUUAGUUGGAUCGGUGACAGGUGCUGCAUGGCUGUCGUCAGCUCGUGUCGUGAGAUGUUGGGUUAAGUCCCGCAACGAGCGCAACCCCUGUUAUCAGUUGCCAUCAGUUUCGGCUGGGCACUCUGAUGAGACUGCCGGUGAUAAGCCGGAGGAAGGCGGGGAUGACGUCAAGUCCUCAUGGCCCUUAUGGGCUGGGCUACACACGUGCUACAAUGGCAGAUACAAUGAGCAGCCAACCCGCGAGGCGAGCUAAUCUUUAAAAUCUGUCUCAGUUCGGAUUGUUCUCUGCAACUCGAGAGCAUGAAGUCGGAAUCGCUAGUAAUCGUGGAUCAGCAUGCCACGGUGAAUACGUUCCCGGGUCCUGUACACACCGCCCGUCAAGUGAUGGGAGUUGGUUUCACCCGAAGGCGGGGCGCUAACCGUAAGGAGGCAGGCGACCACGGUAGUGUCAGCGACUGGGGUG
Molecule: ribosomal RNA, 1408 nt
Filed under: uncultured prokaryote
Description: partial 16S ribosomal RNA
Rfam family: Bacterial small subunit ribosomal RNA
Source: RNAcentral